Chelonoidis abingdonii (Abingdon island giant tortoise) is the source of this 111-nucleotide non-coding RNA. Lineage: Eukaryota; Metazoa; Chordata; Testudines; Testudinidae. The record is from RefSeq and is a predicted model, not a curated record.
AAAUGACGGUUAUCUGUUCCUCUUUACUGGUUGCUGCUAUCAUGGGUGCCCCUGGCUGAGAUUGGCUGGGCGACAGAAGCGCAAAAUGGUGCAAAACUUGGAAUGACUCCC